Molecule: non-coding RNA, 73 nt
Organism: Caenorhabditis elegans
Lineage: Eukaryota; Metazoa; Nematoda; Chromadorea; Rhabditida; Rhabditidae
Source: Ensembl
CUUAAUGAAUUUCUAAAAAAAUUUGGUCUGCUAGGCUACAAACUACAAAAAAAUGAUUAGCAGACCAAACGAA